AUUGAACGCUGGCGGCAGGCUUAACACAUGCAAGUCGAGCGGGGUGAUGGUGCUUGCACUAUCACUUAGCGGCGGACGGGUGAGUAAUGCUUAGGAAUCUGCCUAUUAGUGGGGGACAACAUCUCGAAAGGGAUGCUAAUACCGCAUACGUCCUACGGGAGAAAGCAGGGGAUCACUUGUGACCUUGCGCUAAUAGAUGAGCCUAAGUCGGAGUAGCUAGUUGGUGGGGUAAAGGCCUACCAAGGCGACGAUCUGUAGCGGGUCUGAGAGGAUGAUCCGCCACACUGGGACUGAGACACGGCGCAGACUCCUACGGGAGGCAGCAGUGGGGAAUAUUGGACAAUGGGGGGAACCCCGAUCCAGCCAGGCCGCGUGUGUGAAGAAGGCCUUAUGGUUGUAAAGCACUUUAAGCGAGGAGGAGGCUCUUUUGGUUAAUACCCAAGAUGAGUGGACGUUACUCGCAGAAUAAGCACCGGCUAACUCUGUGCCAGCCGCCGCGGUAA
RNAcentral lists this ribosomal RNA (503 nucleotides) under uncultured bacterium. RNAcentral describes it as "partial 16S ribosomal RNA". It matches the Rfam family "Bacterial small subunit ribosomal RNA", at positions 30 to 523 of the family's 1533-position model. The record is from RNAcentral.